GAUUCUGUAGCUCAGCUGGGAGAGCGCUACCUUGACAGGGUAGAGGUCGCUGGUUCGAGCCCAGUCAGAAUCA
This is a transfer RNA of 73 nucleotides. It matches the Rfam family "tRNA". From Rfam's summary of the family: Transfer RNA (tRNA) molecules are approximately 80 nucleotides in length. Their secondary structure includes four short double-helical elements and three loops (D, anti-codon, and T loops). Further hydrogen bonds mediate the characteristic L-shaped molecular structure. tRNAs have two regions of fundamental functional importance: the anti-codon, which is responsible for specific mRNA codon recognition, and the 3' end, to which the tRNAs corresponding amino acid is attached (by aminoacyl-tRNA synthetases). tRNAs cope with the degeneracy of the genetic code in two manners: having more than one tRNA (with a specific anti-codon) for a particular amino acid; and 'wobble' base-pairing, i.e. permitting non-standard base-pairing at the 3rd anti-codon position. The record is from Rfam.